UAAAAUCUUUAACUGGCGAAUUUAACUUGCACCAACGUAAGAUAAAAGCAUCCGACAACUAGAACACUUAAAUAUCAUAAGCGGCCGCGUCAAUUACAUAAGCCGCCCAAAUGUGAAAGGUCACACGCUAUUAGUUUGUUUAUCAAACUGUAUAAUCAAUUAUGUCAUCAAUUUGUGUGACACUUCGGGAACAUGUAAAGAUCAAAGUGUAAAUGUGUUAAUUGGAACAAUUUACGUCUUUCAUUCUCUGACUUGGAGCACUGAUAAUUACAUGUGCGGUCAACUGAUCGUCUGGUGUUAGUAGAGUACAGAGAAGUGUCAAGUGAAAGAUCUUCCAUGAUGUUGACAAACAUUGAACUUUAGAUCACCAGAUUGUCGGGUAGAAGCUGGGAAAGAUCUUGGCUCAGUCCAGCCUGUGAGAAGAACUGCUAUAGGCAAAACACUGGAAAACAGGACCUCCCAUGACUAACUUAACAUGAUGUUUUUGAUUACAUUUAUGUUGUCAUGUGUAUUUAUUUAAAUGGAAUUUGAAAACCACAUAAUACUAUGUCUAUAUUUUAGAUAAUAAACAUGUGCAGCUGUAAUAAAAUGAAAUAUUAUAAA
Molecule: long non-coding RNA, 603 nt
Organism: Ruditapes philippinarum (Manila clam)
Lineage: Eukaryota; Metazoa; Mollusca; Bivalvia; Venerida; Veneridae
Exons: 2
Source: RefSeq, a predicted model, not a curated record